Molecule: long non-coding RNA, 110 nt
Organism: Sapajus apella (tufted capuchin)
Lineage: Eukaryota; Metazoa; Chordata; Mammalia; Primates; Cebidae
Exons: 3
Source: RefSeq, a predicted model, not a curated record
GGAAGGAAUUAUCGCCAUAGGUGUAUGAACCACCGACGCGAUCCUGCAGUGGGGGAGAGAGAUUGCGCUCAGCCGCAUACACAGCGAGGAAAACUUGCUCCCUACAGAGC